Molecule: long non-coding RNA, 136 nt
Organism: Ipomoea nil (Japanese morning glory)
Lineage: Eukaryota; Viridiplantae; Streptophyta; Magnoliopsida; Solanales; Convolvulaceae
Exons: 3
Source: RefSeq, a predicted model, not a curated record
UUCACGAACAUUACCAAAUGUGCCUACAAAUGUUCAGACUCUAUUCGUUUAUUAAACGAGCUCUAAAAUUUGGUCAUUUAUGCUCGUUUACCUUAAUAAGCGAACAUAAAUGAACGCUACCAAACACAAAUAUGAA